Long non-coding RNA from Lotus japonicus, 520 nucleotides. RefSeq lists it as uncharacterized. Lineage: Eukaryota; Viridiplantae; Streptophyta; Magnoliopsida; Fabales; Fabaceae. The record is from RefSeq and is a predicted model, not a curated record. The transcript has 2 exons.
CUCAAUCUUUGUAGCUUCAUCUCCAUUGUUAUUAUUCUUCUUCCACCUCGCAAUCCAAGGCGCGUGCGUCGCAGGAUAAACUCUACUGUGGCGGCGCCACUUCCAUCUCCGACUCCGUUCACGCCCGCCUGCUCCACUCUCUGUUCUUCUUCGUAGCUCUCUUGCAACCAUCGAGUCUGAGAUCUUGUAGGUGGUCCCUUCACUUCACAUGGUUGAGCUGUGCAAGUCUGAAGGAGAUACUUUGAAAUUUCACAAGGUAAUUUAAUGAAAAAUUAAUUAUGUGUUUGUUUAUGGUAGUGAAAUAAUUCCUUGACAUCAUUAGUACUAGUGUUUAAGGCAGUGAAAAGCAGUGUUUAUCUUCACGUCCUCUCUUAAAGAACUACACUAUGAAUGCAGAAGAACAUAAUGAACAUGCUGAAAUUUAUAGUUUUUCUAGGUUAAUUAAAGCAGAGAUGAUAAAGAUGAUGAACAGUGACCAAAACUCAAACUAAAAGAGUGUGCAAAGACUAUAGUUCAUUGA